RNAcentral lists this unclassified non-coding RNA (343 nucleotides) under Hevea brasiliensis (rubber tree). Lineage: Eukaryota; Viridiplantae; Streptophyta; Magnoliopsida; Malpighiales; Euphorbiaceae. The record is from RNAcentral.
UUGGGAUAAAGGCUUAGUUGAGUCGAGUUGACUAUUAGUGAAGAUGGGACCACAGAGAGGCAGCAGCAGUGAUAGAACCACCCUCAUAAAGGGAUAAUGUAGUGGAACAGCGAAGUUUACAUGUAUACGCCUUUAUUGUACAACCAAUAAGAAGUGCGCAUUAUUUCCCCACUGAGUACAAAGUAAAGCAUAGCAUGAGCAAUUACAGUGCCCACAACAGCAGAUUAUCUACUGAGAAAGUUGAUUUAGGGCUUGUUUGACAUGGUUGUUAAAAUUGCUAUUGAGAAAAUUACUUUUUUAAAAAUACUAGUUAAAGAGCAUUAAAAAAUAAUUUAAAAUUAAA